This 497-nucleotide ribosomal RNA is filed under the name uncultured bacterium. RNAcentral describes it as "partial 16S ribosomal RNA". It matches the Rfam family "Bacterial small subunit ribosomal RNA", at positions 28 to 507 of the family's 1533-position model. The record is from RNAcentral.
GAUGAACGCUGGCGGCGUGCCUAAUACAUGCAAGUAGAACGCUGAAGGAAGGAGCUUGCUCUUUCCGGAUGAGUUGCGAACGGGUGAGUAACGCGUAGGUAACCUGCCUGGUAGCGGGGGAUAACUAUUGGAAACGAUAGCUAAUACCGCAUAACAGUAGAUGUUGCAUGAUAUCUACUUAAAAGGUGCAAUUGCCCCACUACCAGAUGGACCUGCGUUGUAUUAGCUAGUUGGUGAGGUAACGGCUCACCAAGGCGACGAUACAUAGCCGACCUGAGAGGGUGAUCGGCCACACUGGGACUGAGACACGGCCCAGACUCCUACGGGAGGCAGCAGUAGGGAAUCUUCGGCAAUGGACGGAAGUCUGACCGAGCAACGCCGCGUGAGUGAAGAAGGUUGUCGGAUCGUAAAGCUCUGUUGUAAGAGAAGAACGAGUGUGAGAGUGGAAAGUUCACACUGUGACGGUAGCUUACCAGAAAGGGACGGCUAACUACGUG